Molecule: ribosomal RNA, 20 nt
Filed under: Alnus acuminata
Lineage: Eukaryota; Viridiplantae; Streptophyta; Magnoliopsida; Fagales; Betulaceae
Also listed under: 31 other names
Description: partial 26S ribosomal RNA
Source: RNAcentral
ACGCGACCCCAGGUCAGGCG